Molecule: long non-coding RNA, 279 nt
Organism: Orbicella faveolata
Lineage: Eukaryota; Metazoa; Cnidaria; Anthozoa; Scleractinia; Merulinidae
Source: RefSeq, a predicted model, not a curated record
CUGAAGACCCCAGAUUUUUACUGGGAUCGUGAAAACCUGGAAAGCUUGUAUGAUAAAACAUGUAUUUACCUGGAUGUUCACAAAAGGACAAGGGUGAUGAAUGAGAAAUUAAAUCAUUGCUCUGAGAUGGUGGAGUUAUUAAGGACACACCUCAGUGAAAAGCAUUCCUUCAGACUGGAAUGGGGUAUUAUUGCACUUAUAACUGUUGAGGUUGUGUUUGAAACUCUGUAUUUAAUAGAGAGGUACUUCCCCUUCAGGUGACCCAUGUUUGGUGUAUGA